This 823-nucleotide ribosomal RNA is filed under the name Staphylococcus hominis. RNAcentral's name for it is "bacterial SSU rRNA". It matches the Rfam family "Bacterial small subunit ribosomal RNA", at positions 609 to 1430 of the family's 1533-position model. The record is from RNAcentral. Lineage: Bacteria; Bacillati; Bacillota; Bacilli; Caryophanales; Staphylococcaceae.
UCAACCGUGGAGGGUCAUUGGAAACUGGAAAACUUGAGUGCAGAAGAGGAAAGUGGAAUUCCAUGUGUAGCGGUGAAAUGCGCAGAGAUAUGGAGGAACACCAGUGGCGAAGGNGACUUUCUGGUCUGUAACUGACGCUGAUGUGCGAAAGCGUGGGGAUCAAACAGGAUUAGAUACCCUGGUAGUCCACGCCGUAAACGAUGAGUGCUAAGUGUUAGGGGGUUUCCGCCCCUUAGUGCUGCAGCUAANGCAUUAANCACUCCGCCUGGGGAGUACGACCGCAAGGUUGAAACUCAAAGGAAUUGACGGGGACCCGCNCAAGCGGUGGAGCAUGUGGUUUAAUUNGAAGCAACGNGAAGANCCUUACCAAAUCUUGACAUCCUUUGACCCUUNUAGAGAUAGAAGUUUCCCCUUCGGGGGACAAAGUGACAGGUGGUGCAUGGUUGUCGUCAGCUCGUGUCGUGAGAUGUUGGGUUAAGUCCCGCAACGAGCGCAACCCUUAAGCUUAGUUGCCAUCAUUAAGUUGGGCACUCUAAGUUGACUGCCGGUGACAAACCGGAGGAAGGUGGGGAUGACGUCAAAUCAUCAUGCCCCUUAUGAUUUGGGCUACACACGUGCUACAAUGGACAAUACAAAGGGCAGCGAAACCGCGAGGUCAAGCAAAUCCCAUAAAGUUGUUCUCAGUUCGGAUUGUAGUCUGCAACUCGACUACAUGAAGCUGGAAUCGCUAGUAAUCGUAGAUCAGCAUGCUACGGUGAAUACGUUCCCGGGUCUUGUACACACCGCCCGUCACACCACGAGAGUUUGUAACACCCGAAGCCGG